This 72-nucleotide transfer RNA is filed under the name Camelus bactrianus (Bactrian camel). It matches the Rfam family "tRNA". From Rfam's summary of the family: Transfer RNA (tRNA) molecules are approximately 80 nucleotides in length. Their secondary structure includes four short double-helical elements and three loops (D, anti-codon, and T loops). RNAcentral also lists the same sequence under 1 other name. The record is from Rfam by way of RNAcentral. Lineage: Eukaryota; Metazoa; Chordata; Mammalia; Artiodactyla; Camelidae.
AAGGGUGUAACUCAGUGGUAGAGUGCGUGCUUAUCAGACACGAGGUCCUGGGUUUAAUCCCCAGUACCUCUA